UGGGGAAUAUUGGACAAUGGGCGAAAGCCUGAUCCAGCCAUGCCGCGUGUGUGAAGAAGGCCCUCGGGUUGUAAAGCACUUUCAGUGGGGAAGAAAGCCUCGGGAUUAAUACUUCCGAGGAAGGACAUCACCCACAGAAGAAGCACCGGCUAACUCCGUGCCAGCAGCCGCGGUAAUACGGAGGGUGCGAGCGUUAAUCGGAAUUACUGGGCGUAAAGCGCGCGUAGGCGGUCUGAUCAGCCGGUUGUGAAAGCCCCGGGCUCAACCUGGGAACGGCAUCCGGAACUGUCAGGCUAGAGUGCAGGAGAGGAAGGUAGAAUUCCCGGUGUAGCGGUGAAAUGCGUAGAGAUCGGGAGGAAUACCAGUGGCGAAGGCGGCCUUCUGGACUGACACUGACACUGAGGUGCGAAAGCGUGGGUAGCAAACA
This 427-nucleotide ribosomal RNA is filed under the name uncultured Halomonas sp. RNAcentral describes it as "bacterial SSU rRNA". It matches the Rfam family "Bacterial small subunit ribosomal RNA", at positions 355 to 774 of the family's 1533-position model. Lineage: Bacteria; Pseudomonadati; Pseudomonadota; Gammaproteobacteria; Oceanospirillales; Halomonadaceae. The record is from RNAcentral.